RNAcentral lists this long non-coding RNA (513 nucleotides) under Ictidomys tridecemlineatus (thirteen-lined ground squirrel). RNAcentral's name for it is "lncRNA (ENSSTOG00000033246.1)". Lineage: Eukaryota; Metazoa; Chordata; Mammalia; Rodentia; Sciuridae. The record is from RNAcentral.
GCCACCCAAGCUGCUAGGACUAAAGACAUGUGCCACCCACCUGGUUCCAGUGAAGUUUGUAUAGGCUACAAGACAAUUUCAUGGGUACAAUGGCACAAAGACCUCACAGAAACCCUUGAGAAUGGGCAGAGAAGCCUUCCUAGGACUCCCUCCAUACAAAGAAGACCCAAGCUUCAGAGAAAUAUGUCUUGCCAACGGCCAUCAACUUGUAGUAAGAGAGCCAGGACCUAGGUCCUCCAGGGCCUCCCAGGCUUUCAAAUGACACUUCUCGUAUAACUUCUUAACUGAGUCAGAGUCAUAAUUGCUUCCUCUUCUGUGAGCACACAUGAUUCUCUUUUCCUAAAGUGGGGGGAGGGGCGUAUUUUCAAAGUCAUUUUCUUCCACGGACCCACAGGACCUUGUCACGGUGCUUUGUCACCUAAUGGUCAUUCAGGGCCCAAAGACUCCAAAAAUGACAGAGCUGUCUCCUCCCUCUCAUUAAAUAAACAAAAACUCAAAUGUGUCAGAGGUACU